Long non-coding RNA from Prinia subflava (tawny-flanked prinia), 5470 nucleotides. RefSeq lists it as uncharacterized. Lineage: Eukaryota; Metazoa; Chordata; Aves; Passeriformes; Cisticolidae. The record is from RefSeq and is a predicted model, not a curated record. The transcript is spliced from 4 exons.
UUUUCCCAGUAGCUGGUCCUGGCAUUCUUUUGGAUUUGAGCUGAGACGGUGUUGCUAACACAGGGAUGUUUUCACUGGUGCUGAGCAGUGUUCACACAGCAUCCAGGGCUUUUGUGCAUCUCACCCACCCACCAGGGAGUGCGCUGGGUGAGCACAAGGAGCUGGGAGGGAACACUGCUUCCCCCAAGUGAGCCAAGGAAUAUCCCAGGCCAUACGGCCUCAUGUUCAGCACACAAAGCUGGAGGAAGAAGUGAGUAGGGGAUGUCAGGAGUGGUGGUAAAGUCACCAUUGCAUGUGAUGGAGCCCUGCUUUCCUGUAGAUGGCUGAACAUCUGCCUGCAGGGGGCAGUGGGCAAUAGAUUCUUUCUUUUGCUGUGUUUGUGUGCAUUGUUUUUCCUUGACCUAUUAAACUGUGUUUAUCUCAACCUGUGAAUUUGCUCCUUUUCCUGAUUCCCUCCCCCAUGUGGGGGAGUGAGCAGGCAGCUGUGUGGGGCUGAGUUGCCAGGUGGGGUUAAACCAUGCCCGUCCUUUUUGGUGCCUGCCAUGGAGCCUGAAGGCUUUGAGGAUAGAAAAGUCUAAAUGUGUGUGUCAAAUCAAAAGCUUGCUUUAUUUUUAGAUGACGGAUACAGAUCUCCUUUAUGGCUACUGGACAGUCCACAGAAAUCUAGAACUCAUGUUUGAUCAUCAUACCAAAGUAUAAUGCAAAACAACAAAAAAUAUCCAUAUAAGUACAUGUUUCAACAGCUACAUCUCUAUAAAGUAGUAUGGAAGGACUGGAGAAUCAUUACAAGAAUGAAUCGUAGGAAAGGUCAUCUGAGUAGAGGAAGUGAAAACAGGAAACAAAUGAGUUCAGGAAAAAAGAUAUAAAACAAAGAAAAAAUUGUCCAUGUUUUGCAAAAAGAAAAAAAAAGACAAAUAUGUGUCAUUGCAUCGUGUACAUAGAAGAAAUUAAGAAUUCUUAAUUUUAAAUUACUAAUCUGGAACAAGAUGAUCAAUAAUCUAGGAUAUGAACUAAUAAGACCUGCAACACUUAUGAAGCAUUGACAAGAUAAAGGUUUUGAGAAGGACCUUUACUGAACAUUUUGUCCACUGUAAAACAGCACCAGAAGAGAUGAUGUAUUGAGACCUGAAAGGGGAAUCAGGGUAUCAAGGAAUGAAUCUUUAUUUUAAGCAAAAUGUAACAAAGUAGGCAUCAAAAAAGCCACUGCCAGAAGGCAGAGGAACACAAGCUAUUCUCACGGAGUUAGAGAAUUUCCAAGUCAAUGGCUGCCUGAAUGCUCUGGUGGUACCAUAGGAGAACACAAAGGGAAUGGUGAUAAACAGGAUCAUAGAAGAGAAAAUGCAGGUGAUCGAAUCACUAGGAAAUUUGCUGGCAGGAACAGUGCAAGAGCAACACAAGGAAGAGCUCCAUAUUUGGGAAACUUGUGACAAGAUUAUCCAUCCUUCCCAAAGCACGAGUUAGAGGUGCCAGAGUGCAGAGGGAUGAAGCCCUUUGGACAGGCAGCCCUGCUCCCUCAGAGGCACGGGGAUGAGACAAACACCUGAUCCCUGAGGAUGCAGCUGGCAGGAGAAGCCUGAAAGCAAAGCUGUGAGUCCAGCCCGUAGCAGAGAGGCAACAGCAGCAGAAUGUGUGGCAGGAGCAAAUAUCCUGGAGCUGCCAAUUGCUGCUUUGUGGCUCUGAGGAAAAUGCAGCUGUGCCAUGGGAGCAGAGCCUUGGUGUGGUGCUGGACAAGAGGGUUGAGCCUCGAGGGCAGCAGCGUUCCCGUGUGCAGCUCAGUGUGUGGAGCAGGCAGUGCAGGAGCAGCAGGAGGAAGAUGUGCACACUUGGGCUGCAUCUGGCAAGAGUGUCCAUUGGAGCCAGAGGCUGGGUGAGGGCAGCGGGACUGGAGAGGGAGGAAGCCCUUUGGACACGAGUGCCUGCACCCUCAGCUGCGUGGGCAUGUGCAAGGUUACCAGCAGAACCUGCUCAUUCCUGAGCAUGCAGAUGGCCAGGCAAAUGCAGAGAGCCAACCUGGAGUCCAAGGCCGUUGCAGAAGGUGUUUCCUAUGGGCAGACACACAGCAGCAAGUUCCAGGAGCCGUCACUUCCUAGUGCUCGGCUUUAAGGAUGCCGUGGUGGUGGCACAGGAGAAGAGCCUUGGUGUUGUGCUGGAACGGGCUCGUCCAGAAGAAGAGGUGGAGUUCCCAUCUGCAGGGAACUCUGUGGCACCAGCAGUGGAGCAGCAGGAUGAGGAAGAUGUGCUGCUUGCAAACAUUUCUGCAAGAGCCUUCAUGCCUUUCAGAAGCUCCAUGAGAGCUGUCAGAGUGCAGAGUGACGAAGCCCUUUGGACAGGCGUCUCUGCUCCAAGACAGUUGUCAGAGUUUUUAAUGUGGACUAAAUUACUUUUGUACUAAUUCUCUAAUAUUUGAACUACGUAACUAGCAACUGAAAAGACGCAUCUGCCGUCGCAGACAUGAGCCAUAGGCAGUGUCAGUGUGAAUGCCUGAUGUUUGGCAAUAACAUGCACAAUAACAAGCAGAAUCUUUCAGGGGAGAUACAAAGUGGGCUUAAAUGUUGGUAAUUUACCAGCUCUGUCCACAGCAACCUGCCAUUUUCCAUCUCUGUAUGGUCUGCCCCAGAGAACCUAGGCUGCAGUUUGGUUCAAGAAAAAAUAAACACCUUCUACUGAAAUGUACAGUUCCAGUUUGCAGGUUUUAGAUGUGGUUUUACUGGAUGCUCUUGUUUAUCCCACCCUCUGAUAUAAUUAGUAGUAUUCAAAAGGUCCUAUACCACCUUAAUUUGUUCCUGCCACCUAUGUAGUCACAUUAAAAAGAGAGAAUUAAUUAGUGGCUGGGGUGUGACCCUGGCACCUCUGUUCCCACAAUCACACCAGCAGAUGUGGUGUUAAAUGGGCCCAUCGGUUUCUCUGCCUCCCCUCCUGUGCCUGGCCGGUUGUUCUGAGUGUCAUGUGCUGCAGAACGUGUGCCUGGCAAGGGCAGCUAUUGCAGGGUAAUUUGAAGCAGGCAGGUCUGCUGCUGCAGCUGUGAGCUGUGUGGGACUCUGAGGCAAAAGUAGGUAAAAGCACUUGUACUGCUUCAUGUGUCACCGUUUGGCAUAGAAAUGGGGAAAUCUGCCUGCUGGUGUGGUUACGAACAGGUCUCACUCCAGCCAGUGUGGUUAUUCUGUUAAUAGAUUCACCACAGAUUUCAAUUCAAUUAGGUUGCUGCUUUAGUACUCCCCAAGAAAGGAUUAGCAGUGUUCCUGAAGUAAUUCUUGAAAGGUUUUGCCUUUUUUCUGCAUUUUUAAGUAUUUGUGCCAUAGGCAGUGACAGGAGAGAGGCCUGCCCUGUAGGUUCCAAACUGGUUUGGAGCCAAAUAAAAGUCAUCUGUAGAUUUAUUUGGGAGCACUCUUCUAAGUAUGCGUGUAGCAGCCAGUGACUGUGGCCUGUUCUGAGCUAUGCACAUUUGAGCUUUGUCUUGCUGUGAAACAAGGCAGGUUUUAAGAAGUCUUAAUUUACAGGACUCAGGUAGAAUACAGGGCUUUUUCCUUAUACUUGCACCAUUAACCUCUCACUGUUAACCACUUUGACACUGAUGAUAAAUCUGAGAAGCAGAUUAUGGAUUUCAGUAGAAGUUUGUCUUUCUACAAAAUAUUCAAAGCUAUCUCUGAGAAACGUGUAUGUUGUUGACUGCCCUCUUCUUCAGGGAUCAAAGUUCUCUCCAUAUAGCUUUGUAACUGAGCUCAAUACAAAGAAAGUAGGAUAUAGCCUCUCUUAUCUUCUCACAGUCCUUCCUGGCCUCGAAUCUAUUCAUUGUAAUAAUCAAACCAUCCAGACUUACACGGCUUUAAACAAAGGGCUGUGACUACAGAAGAAAAAGGGUCCCUGUCUCAAAGGAAAGUCAGUGUUCUGCAGGAUGUCCAGGCUGGCCUGGGUGUAAGGUUGAACAUCAGGAUAUUUUCAUGUAUUACUUUUAUAAAGGUACUGAUGAAGUUUACUUUCAUCUGAUCAUGUUAAAAUUGCAGUACUUUGAAGGUGAAAUGUUUCAAGGACAUACAUUUAUUUCUGUAGUUUUACAGCCCUAUGAACUGCAGUCAUGAGGGAGAAGAGUGUAAAAAGCUUUAUGUGGUUUUUGAUAGGAAAACAGCAGUCUGAUACAUAUCAAUCAAGUAGUAAAACUUCAGGGGUUUUCUUACUAUAAUGUGAACACAGGUGCCAACAGUUUUGUGGUUGGUUUGGGUUUAUUUUAUCCAAAAUAGAACUGACCUCUACAUAGUUCUGCUUGGUUCUGCUUGAAGAAACAGAUUUUUUUCUGAAUUUACUUGACUUUUUUAUUUAUCAGAUGAGCACUUGGAAAACUGGUGGCUGCAGUGGGAGGUGGAUGGUGCUAUAGGACAGGGCUGUUUUGUCCUACUCCCUGGCCAAACAAGGUAUCAGCACACGGAGCCCUCAGCAGCUCCACAGUGCGGCUGGGCUUGGCCUGAGAACACACAUAAAAAGACACCGAGCUGAAGAGAUGAUACAAAACUGGGAGCAGCUGUUGACUCGCUCCCUCAAAGGCAGAGGCCCUGCAGAGAGGCCUCGAUAAAUUAAAGGACUGGGCAAAAACCAAACAAAUUCUGUACCUUGGAUGGGGCAAUCUGGAAUGUACAGACAGACUGGAGAAGGAGACAUUGGAAAGCAGCACCAUGGAAAGGGACCUGGGGGUCCUGGUCGAUGGAAAGUUGAAUCUGAGCCAGCAGUGCCCUGGAGCCAGGAGGGCCAACCCUGUCCUGGAGGGCAUCAGGCACAGCAUCACAGCUGGGCAGGGGAGGGGAUUGUCCUGCUCUGCUCUGAGCUGGGGCAGCCUCACCUUGAAUGUUGUGUGUAGUUUUGGUCACAACAUGUGAGAAAUGCAUAUUAUAUGGCUCUGCACAGAUAAGUGUAUUAUGCUAGGUUGAAAAGUUAUGCUAUAUUAACUUUUGAAUAGUAUAGUGAAUGUAGUUUUGUAAUUAGCAUUAAGCUCUAGUAGUUAAAAUAGAAGCUAUGUGUGUGAGAUAUUCUUUUUAUGAGCUCGGGAGAAGGAGAAGGUAAUCAGGGGGUUCUUCGCACAGAGAUAACAAUUACAAAAACCCCUAAAUUUCCAGAGGAGAAGGAUUUAUGGCGUUCCUUAUCUACAGAAACGAACUUCUUCAAGCCUGACUUAGACUCAGAGGCACCUGGGGAUUAACAGAAAAUUUUUGACAAGUACCAGAUGGAUUUCUUGUUUUAAAUAAAAUAUAUGCAUAAUCAAGUGUUCUGUAUAUGCAAUAGAUUACUCCUCUUAAGGAGUGAAUUUUCUCUUAACGAGGUCCUUUUCCUGGCUCACUUUUGUCCAGGAAGGGAUACCCAGCCCAGGCUGUAACUCUUUGCCAUUAUUGUCUCAUAAAUUGUCCUACUCUAAAUUGCUCAACUUUUAUUAUUCUAUUUGUAUUAUUAUUUUUUUAUAACCAUUUUUUAUUUUUAUUAAAUUUCC